AGAGUUUGAUUAUGGCUCAGGAUGAACGCUGGCGGCGUGCUUAACACAUGCAAGUCGAACGAGGUCCAACCUUCGGGUGAAGACCGAGUGGCGAACGGGUGAGUAACACGUGGGGAACCUGCCCUUCUCUCUGGGAUAACCUCGGGAAACCGAAGCUAAUACCGGAUACUCCUUGCGGACCGCAUGGUCUGCUCGGGAAAGCUCCGGCGGAGAAGGAUGGCCCCGCGGCCCAUUAGCUUGUUGGCGGGGUAACGGCCCACCAAGGCGACGAUGGGUAGCCGAGCUGAGAGGCUGAUCGGCCACACUGGGACUGAGACACGGCCCAGACUCCUACGGGAGGCAGCAGUGGGGAAUCUUGCGCAAUGGGCGAAAGCCUGACGCAGCAACGCCGCGUGCGGGAUGAAGGCUCUCGGGUCGUAAACCGCUUUCAGCAGGGAUGAAAAUGACAGUACCUGCAGAAGAAGCCCCGGCUAAAUACGUGCCAGCAGCCGCGGUAAUACGUAUGGGGCAAGCGUUAUCCGGAUUCAUUGGGCGUAAAGCGCGCGUAGGCGGCUUGUUAAGUCAGGCGUGAAAUCCGGGGGCUCAACCCGCGGCUUGCGUCUGAAACUGGCAGGCUUGAGUCUGGUAGAGGAAAGUGGAAUUCCUGGUGUAGCGGUGAAAUGCGCAGAUAUCAGGAGGAACACCAGUGGCGAAGGCGGCUUUCUGGGCCACGUCUGACGCUGAGGCGCGAAAGCUAGGGGAGCGAACAGGAUUAGAUACCCUGGUAGUC
This 769-nucleotide ribosomal RNA is filed under the name uncultured Actinomycetes bacterium. RNAcentral's name for it is "bacterial SSU rRNA". It matches the Rfam family "Bacterial small subunit ribosomal RNA", at positions 8 to 795 of the family's 1533-position model. Lineage: Bacteria; Bacillati; Actinomycetota; Actinomycetes. The record is from RNAcentral.